Molecule: ribosomal RNA, 441 nt
Filed under: Boophis quasiboehmei
Lineage: Eukaryota; Metazoa; Chordata; Amphibia; Anura; Mantellidae
Description: partial 16S ribosomal RNA
Rfam family: Bacterial large subunit ribosomal RNA
Source: RNAcentral
UAUCAACGGCAUCACGAGGAUCCUACUGUCUCCCCCCUCUAAUCAGUGAAACUGAUCUCCCCGUGAAGAAGCGGGGAUAUACAUAUAAGACGAGAAGACCCCAUGGAGCUUUAAACCUGACAGCACCCGCUCAUUCUAUACCCCAUUAUUUGCCCGACCCCUGUCUGCUCAGUUUUAGGUUGGGGUGACCACGGAGUAUAAAAUAACCUCCAUGAAGAAGGGGAUAUUUCCCUUAUUAGAGAACUACACUUCCAAGAACUAAUAAAUUAAUUUUCAAUGACCCGAUACCCGAUAAUCGAUCAACGAACCAAGUUACCCUGGGGAUAACAGCGCAAUCCACCCUGAAAGCCCUUAUUAACAGGUGGGUUUACGACCUCGAUGUUGGAUCAGGGUAUCCCAGUGGUGCAGCAGCUACUGAGGGUUCGUUUGUUCAACGAUUAA